UUCAAGAUUUGCUUCAAAUAUUAAUUCCAGCACGUGUGUAUAUGCAAGACGAGACUUACUGCACAAGAAUUGUCCAAGUCGGCCUAAGGAAAGUUAUUAAGAACAAAAAUAUAAUUAUGCUUUUUUUUGUUUGGUACAACACAAAACAUAUUUUCAAUUUUAAUCUAGGUUUGGCCGCAGCUGUUGCAAGGGUUUUGGUCUGCAACCCUAGCUUGCCCAUCAAGACAUUGAAG
This 233-nucleotide long non-coding RNA is filed under the name Trifolium pratense (red clover). RNAcentral's name for it is "long non-coding RNA (TPRA_LNC005691)". The record is from RNAcentral. Lineage: Eukaryota; Viridiplantae; Streptophyta; Magnoliopsida; Fabales; Fabaceae.